AUGGAAAGUAUUGAUGACUACACUCGGAGCAAGCCUUGUCGCGACGCUGCAAGUGUUGCCCCCCUCCUCCCAAAGGGCAAGGUGAAGGAAGGUGCCUGUGUGGUUCUUCUGCAGCUCGCAGCGAGGAUUGUUGUGUCCAACCUGCACAAGAAUGCCAAGAAGUCCUUCUCGAAGACGAUUAAGGACAUGUACAAGCACUACAACGAGAGAUCUGGGUUGCUUCUUUGUGGCUUCCAAACUUGGAAAUGUUUGUCUGAAAAUCCGGGACAAAUGAGACGGUCCAGCGCGCGGGCGCAAACGGACUUUUGUCCGCUUUGUGUCCGCUUUCGACCCAUCCGCGGACCAAGUUUGCGCCGUUUUUGGGGUGAAACGGACACCACGCAGACGCGCGGGUUGUCUGCGCGUGUCCUCCCCUGGCCCGCCCGUCGGUGGCACGGGACGGGCCUUUUUCUAUCCGCCCCCCUCCCUCCCUCCCUCCGGCCGCAUCCACUCCACUCUUCCCCUCUCUUCCCCUCGCCGCCGCCGGCCGCCCGCUGCCAUUGCAGCCGUGCAACUCGGACGUGCGCUUGCCCAGCCCCUUCCUCUCGUCGCCGCCGAGCUACCCAAGCACGGCCACCUUGUUUGCGCACCGGCCGGCCGGAUUUGGGGCGGAUCCGGUCGGUCUUGAGCUCGCCCGGCUAUGAGAGGCCGGCCCGCGCCAUGGACUGGUCGGGCACCUUGCCGGAAGGCCCUGGCAGGGCCGCAAGGCCACAUGCAGGCAGUGGCUCGUCCUCUAGCCGCUCGGAUCUGCACCAUCGGUGGUCCGCCGGCAGAUACGCGAAUGGCAGCCGGCCGGGCUCGAUGCUUGCCCAAAAGCUCGUCGGCGCACCGUUGCCCCUCAUCAAGUGCGACCACUGCCCAAGGGUGGUCGUGCGCCGCGUGUCUACAACACCGAAGCAUCCGGGAUGGGUGUUCAUCAAGUGCUUAAACGAUGGUGAUGAGGCAAAUGGAUGCGGCCGCGCGCUGGGCGCACGGCCACCGCAUCCCAGGACAGGCACAGCAUCCCUUGUGUGCGGCAUCGCGCAGGUGCGGCGACGGCGACCGCAGACGAAAAUUUCUUUUACGUAUCCGCGACAACGUCUAAGAGAGCACCGGUUGGGGGCUGAGGCUCUUCCUCCUCCCGGCGUGUCCUGCGUGUGCGGCAUCCCGUUGUCUUCCUCACGACCCGGUUGCGGAGGUUGCCGGACCCAACCACCGAGGAGGAAGUCGUGGCCAUCUGGUCAGCCGCGUCAAGCUCUGUCGCAGCACCCUCUCACUUCACGCUCGUGCCCGGACAAGGCAGCAACUGGUGGUCACGGCGUGGCGCAUGGCAAUCCUGCCAGUUCAUAUGCUCACCGCUAUUGUUGUGAGCUCACUGCUACCAUCUGCAUGUUGUUGAUGUUUCUAGCUUGUUGUGGUGCAUGGCCGGAGCCGAACCAGACCAGCAUCUCCCUCACGUUCACAAGAUUAUACCUCGGCCUAAGCAACAAAGCAGUGGAGCUCGCACAGGGUUCCAACUCACAAGCCGUAGCGGAGCUCGCACAGCAAGCGCUGGAGAUCGUUAUCGUUCACGGAGGGGUGGCGCAGCUCUAG
RNAcentral lists this ribosomal RNA (1611 nucleotides) under Triticum aestivum (bread wheat). Its description in RNAcentral is "partial small subunit ribosomal RNA". The record is from RNAcentral. Lineage: Eukaryota; Viridiplantae; Streptophyta; Magnoliopsida; Poales; Poaceae.